GACGAACGCUGGCGGCGUGCUUAACACAUGCAAGUCAAGGGGGCCCAGCAAUGGGCAACCGGCGAACGGGUGCGUAACACGUGAGCAACCUACCGAACUGUGGGGGAUAGCCGGCCUAACGGCCGAGUAAUACCGCAUACGCUCUCAGGGAGGCAUUUCUUUGAGAGGAAACCUACGGGACAGAUCGAGGGGCUCGCGGCCUAUCAGCUAGUUGGCGAGGUAACGGCUCACCAAGGCAACGACGGGUAGCUGGUCUGAGAGGAUGGCCAGCCACAUUGGGACUGAGAUACGGCCCAGACUCCUACGGGAGGCAGCAGUGGGGAAUCUUGCGCAAUGGCCUAACGGCUGACGCAGCGACGCCGCGUGUGGGAUGAAGCUCUUCGG
RNAcentral lists this ribosomal RNA (384 nucleotides) under uncultured bacterium. Its description in RNAcentral is "bacterial SSU rRNA". It matches the Rfam family "Bacterial small subunit ribosomal RNA", at positions 28 to 421 of the family's 1533-position model. The record is from RNAcentral.